GUUUUCUUUUUCCUUCUCUCUUCUCCUUCCCGUGGUUUUCUCUCGAGUUCCCUCUGCAACUCUCUUUCUCUCCAACAUAUCUCUGCCUCCAGACCACCAAAUGGCGAGCUGUUGGCCUAGAUAGACUCGUCUCCUCCUCCUUAACAUGCAUGUGGGAGUUGUUUACCGCGAUUUGGUCGGAAAUGUGGAGAUCGAAGCCAACAUUUUUACUGUAGCAAAAUGGUCAACGCCGAUUUCCGGUCACCUUCGGCCACAAACCCAGUUCCAUUAGAAGCGCCUUGAGCCACUCUUCAUGCUCUCCAAACCUCUUGCAGCGAUUCAAAGCGUGGAGGAAGAAAGCAUAAUUAGAAGAUUUUACUGUUCACUCGAGUUCAACUUUCUCCUUAAUUGUUGAGGUAUUUCUACUCAUUUUCUGACUUUGUCAUAGUUGAGAAAAUUAAUGUGUGUGUUGAGGAGGUGCUACUACCAAAGUUUGGUGGCCAUCGGAGGUGGUGGCCGGUGGUCGGCGCCGCCACUGUAGGUGGCGUAUGGCGGCGCUUAGGGCUGCUUGCUGACUUCAAUUUUAGCCUAUAAAAUCCUAUUAAUGUUGUAGAGCUUGUAUAUGAAGUUUGGUGAAGAUUGGUGAUGUUUUGAAUUUAUUAUGAAUUUUCAAAAAGUAAGAGUUUUGACUAUCGAUUUACGAGAAUCCGACCGUCGGAUUUCUCUCGAAUCUGCCCUAGAACUUGUAAAUUAAUGAAAUGGUGUUAGUGAUAAAGUUUGGGUUGAAUUGGAGAAGGAAAUGGGGAUGUUGGCCUAAGAGGACAACGUACCGAGCUAUUGCUCGAUGA
This 827-nucleotide long non-coding RNA is filed under the name Rosa chinensis. RNAcentral's name for it is "sRNA RchiOBHm_Chr3g0493021". Lineage: Eukaryota; Viridiplantae; Streptophyta; Magnoliopsida; Rosales; Rosaceae. The record is from RNAcentral.